GUAGGUGGCAAGCGUUAUCCGGAAUUAUUGGGCGUAAAGCGCGCGCAGGCGGUUUCUUAAGUCUGAUGUGAAAGCCCACGGCUCAACCGUGGAGGGUCAUUGGAAACUGGGGAACUUGAGUGCAGAAGAGAAAAGCGGAAUUCCACGUGUAGCGGUGAAAUGCGUAGAGAUGUGGAGGAACACCAGUGGCGAAGGCGGCUUUUUGGUCUGUAACUGACGCUGAGGCGCGAAAGCGUGGGGAGCAAACAGGGAUUAGAUACCCUGGUAGCCCACGCCGUAAACGAUGAGUGCUAAGUGUUAGAGGGUUUUCCGCCCCUUUAGUGCUGCAGCUAACGCAUUAAGCACUCCGCCUGGGAGUACGGUCGCAAGACUG
This 373-nucleotide ribosomal RNA is filed under the name uncultured organism. Its description in RNAcentral is "partial 16S ribosomal RNA". It matches the Rfam family "Bacterial small subunit ribosomal RNA", at positions 527 to 896 of the family's 1533-position model. The record is from RNAcentral.